AUUGAACGCUGGCGGCAUGCCUUACACAUGCAAGUCGAACGGCAGCACGGGUGCUUGCUCCUGGUGGCGAGUGGCGAACGGGUGAGUAAUACAUCGGAACAUGUCCUGUAGCGGGGGAUAGCCCGGCGAAAGCCGGAUUAAUACCGCAUACGAUCUACGGAUGAAAGCGGGGGACCUUCGGGCCUCGCGCUAUAGGGUUGGCCGAUGGCUGAUUAGCUAGUUGGUGGGGUAAAGGCCUACCAAGGCGACGAUCAGUAGCUGGUCUGAGAGGACGACCAGCCACACUGGAACUGAGACACGGCCCAGACUCCUACGGGAGGCAGCAGUGGGGAAUUUUGGACAAUGGGCGAAAGCCUGAUCCAGCAAUGCCGCGUGUGUGAAGAAGGCCUUCGGGUUGUAAAGCACUUUUGUCCGGAAAGAAAUCCUUGGCCCUAAUACGGUCGGGGGAUGACGGUACCGGAAGAAUAAGCACCGGCUAACUACGUG
This 486-nucleotide ribosomal RNA is filed under the name uncultured bacterium. RNAcentral's name for it is "partial 16S ribosomal RNA". It matches the Rfam family "Bacterial small subunit ribosomal RNA", at positions 30 to 507 of the family's 1533-position model. The record is from RNAcentral.